Molecule: ribosomal RNA, 468 nt
Filed under: uncultured bacterium
Lineage: Bacteria
Description: partial 16S ribosomal RNA
Rfam family: Bacterial small subunit ribosomal RNA
Source: RNAcentral
GACGAACGCUGGCGGCGUGCUUAACACAUGCAAGUCGAACGGAAAGGCCCUGCUUUUGUGGGGUGCUCGAGUGGCGAACGGGUGAGUAACACGUGAGUAACCUGCCCUUGACUUUGGGAUAACUUCAGGAAACUGGGGCUAAUACCGGAUAGGAGCUCCUGCGGCAUGGUGGGGGUUGGAAAGUUUCGGCGGUUGGGGAUGGACUCGCGGCUUAUCAGCUUGUUGGUGGGGUAGUGGCUUACCAAGGCUUUGACGGGUAGCCGGCCUGAGAGGGUGACCGGCCACAUUGGGACUGAGAUACGGCCCAGACUCCUACGGGAGGCAGCAGUGGGGAAUAUUGCUCAAUGGGCGGAAGCCUGAUGCAGCAACGCCGCGUGCGGGAUGACGGCCUUCGGGUUGUAAACCGCUUUCGCCUGUGACGAAGCGUGAGUGACGGUAAUGGGUAAAGAAGCACCGGCUAACUACGUG